GCGGGGGUAGCCAAGUGGUCAAAGGUGCAAGGUUGAGGGCCUUGUCGAUUAGUUCGUUCGAGGGUUCGAAUCCCUUCCCCCGCA
This 84-nucleotide transfer RNA is filed under the name Candidatus Hydrothermarchaeota archaeon. RNAcentral describes it as "tRNA-Leu". It matches the Rfam family "tRNA". From Rfam's summary of the family: Transfer RNA (tRNA) molecules are approximately 80 nucleotides in length. Their secondary structure includes four short double-helical elements and three loops (D, anti-codon, and T loops). Further hydrogen bonds mediate the characteristic L-shaped molecular structure. tRNAs have two regions of fundamental functional importance: the anti-codon, which is responsible for specific mRNA codon recognition, and the 3' end, to which the tRNAs corresponding amino acid is attached (by aminoacyl-tRNA synthetases). tRNAs cope with the degeneracy of the genetic code in two manners: having more than one tRNA (with a specific anti-codon) for a particular amino acid; and 'wobble' base-pairing, i.e. permitting non-standard base-pairing at the 3rd anti-codon position. The record is from RNAcentral. Lineage: Archaea; Methanobacteriati; Candidatus Hydrothermarchaeota.